UGCCAGCCGCCGCGGUAAUACGGAGGGAGCAAGCGUUGCUCGGAAUCACUGGGCGUAAAGGGCCUGUAGGCGGUUCGUUAAGUCUGAUGUGAAAGCCCGGGGCUCAACCCCGGAAGUGCAUUGGAAACUGGCGAACUUGAGUACGGGAGAGGAAAGUGGAAUUCCGAGUGUAGAGGUGAAAUUCGUAGAUAUUCGGUGGAACACCAGUGGCGAAGGCGGCUUUCUGGACCGAUACUGACGCUGAGACGCGAAAGCGUGGGGAGCAAACAGGAUUAGAUA
This 279-nucleotide ribosomal RNA is filed under the name uncultured bacterium. RNAcentral describes it as "partial 16S ribosomal RNA". It matches the Rfam family "Bacterial small subunit ribosomal RNA", at positions 506 to 784 of the family's 1533-position model. The record is from RNAcentral.